AAGUCGUAACAAGGUAACCGUAGGUGAACCUGCGGUUGGAUCAUUAACGAAAAAAAUUUCAAAAAAGAAAAGGGAGUUUGGAAAGAGAAAGAGGGUAUUUAAACGGAGUUUAAUCCGUUUAAAUUAUGUUUUUUGUUUCCAAAUUUUUUUUUUUUUUUGUAAUCCCCCCCCUGUGAAUGUUUUUUUAAAAUAGUUUUGGUUUAAAUAAAACUUGGAGGUUUUCUCGAAAGUUUUGACGAAAGUUUUGGAGAGAAACCUUUUUUUUUUUUAUUUAAAACCAAAACAAUAACCUAUAUGAAUCUUUUUCUUUUAUUUCGAGUAUAAUUUUUUAAUUAAAAUAACACAAAAAAAGUUUUAAAAACAACUUUUGACAACGGAUCUCUUGGCUCUC
Molecule: unclassified non-coding RNA, 391 nt
Filed under: fungal sp.
Lineage: Eukaryota; Fungi
Description: partial internal transcribed spacer region
Rfam family: Eukaryotic small subunit ribosomal RNA (bases 1-46)
Source: RNAcentral